AAGGGCUGUUAAAAAUGUAAACU
RNAcentral lists this non-coding RNA (23 nucleotides) under Cricetulus griseus (Chinese hamster). The record is from RNAcentral. Lineage: Eukaryota; Metazoa; Chordata; Mammalia; Rodentia; Cricetidae.